ACGCUCGACACCUACGGGAGGCAGCAGUGAGGGAUAUUGGUCAAUGGGGGAAACCCUGAACCAGCAACGCCGCGUGAGGGAUGACGGCCUUGGUUGUAAACCUCUGUCCUCUGUGAAGAUAAUGACGGUAGCAGAGGAGGAAGCUCCGGCUAACUACGUGCUAGCAGCCGCGGUAAUCUGAGCCGGGCUGGACAAGGC
Molecule: ribosomal RNA, 198 nt
Filed under: uncultured bacterium
Lineage: Bacteria
Description: partial 16S ribosomal RNA
Rfam family: Bacterial small subunit ribosomal RNA
Source: RNAcentral